This 253-nucleotide ribosomal RNA is filed under the name uncultured bacterium. Its description in RNAcentral is "partial 16S ribosomal RNA". It matches the Rfam family "Bacterial small subunit ribosomal RNA", at positions 524 to 776 of the family's 1533-position model. The record is from RNAcentral.
UACGGAGGGGGCUAGCGUUGUUCGGAAUUACUGGGCGUAAAGCGCGCGUAGGCGGCUUUGUAAGUUAGAGGUGAAAGCCCGGAGCUCAACUCCGGAACUGCCUUUAAGACUGCAUAGCUAGAACGUCGGAGAGGUAAGUGGAAUUCCGAGUGUAGAGGUGAAAUUCGUAGAUAUUCGGAAGAACACCAGUGGCGAAGGCGACUUACUGGACGACUGUUGACGCUGAGGUGCGAAAGCGUGGGGAGCAAACAGG